UACGGGGGAUGCAAGCGUUAUCCGGAUUUAUUGGGUUUAAAGGGUGCGUAGGCUGUGAGGUAAGUCAGCGGUGAAAUGCCCCCGCUCAACGGGGUGAAGUGCCAUUGAUACUGCCUUGCUGGAAUGCGGAUGCCGUGGGAGGAAUGUGUGGUGUAGCGGUGAAAUGCAUAGAUAUCACACAGAACACCGAUUGCGAAGGCAUCUCACGAAUCCGCGAUUGACGUUGAUGCACGAAAGCGUGGGUAUCAAACAGG
RNAcentral lists this ribosomal RNA (254 nucleotides) under uncultured bacterium. RNAcentral's name for it is "partial 16S ribosomal RNA". It matches the Rfam family "Bacterial small subunit ribosomal RNA", at positions 524 to 776 of the family's 1533-position model. The record is from RNAcentral.